UACGGGAGGCAGCAGUGGGGAAUAUUGGACAAUGGGGGCAACCCUGAUCCAGCCAUGCCGCGUGAGUGAAGAAGGUCUUCGGAUUGUAAAGCUCUUUCAGAUGUGAAGAUGAUGACGGUAACAUCAGAAGAAGCCCCGGCUAACUUCGUGCCAGCAGCCGCGGUAAUACGAAGGGGGCAAGCGUUGUUCGGAAUUACUGGGCGUAAAGGGCGCGUAGGCGGUCAUUUAAGUUAGUGGUGAAAUCCCAAGGCUCAACCUUGGAACUGCCUUUAAUACUGGAUGACUUGAGUAUGAGAGAGGAUAGCGGAAUUCCUAGUGUAGAGGUGAAAUUCGUAGAUAUUAGGAGGAACACCAGAUGCGAAGGCGGCUAUCUGGCUCAUAACUGACGCUGAGGCGCGAAAGUGUGGGGAGCAAACAGGAUUAGAUACCCUGGUAGUCCACACCGUAAACGAUGUGUGCUAGUUGUCGGAACAAAGUUUCGGUGAUGCAGCUAACGCGUUAAGCACACCGCCUGGGGAGUACGAUCGCAAGAUUAAAACUCAAAGGAAUUGACGGGGACCCGCACAAGCGGUGGAGCAUGUGGUUUAAUUCGAAGAUACGCGAAGAACCUUA
Molecule: ribosomal RNA, 612 nt
Filed under: uncultured bacterium
Lineage: Bacteria
Description: bacterial SSU rRNA
Rfam family: Bacterial small subunit ribosomal RNA
Source: RNAcentral